This 141-nucleotide ribosomal RNA is filed under the name uncultured eukaryote. Its description in RNAcentral is "partial 18S ribosomal RNA". It matches the Rfam family "Eukaryotic small subunit ribosomal RNA", at positions 1299 to 1458 of the family's 1831-position model. The record is from RNAcentral.
UGGUGGAGUGAUUUGUCUGGUUAAUUCCGUUAACGAACGAGACCUUGACCUGCUAAAUAGUUUUACCAACCCUCUGGGUUGGCGUUUAACUUCUUAGAGGGACUAUCGGUGUGUAGCCGAUGGAAGUUCGAGGCAAUAACA